GGCAGGACCAGGUGGAGGUAGUUGAAUCAUGGGGCCGGUUUUCCCUAUGCUAUUCUCGUGAGAGACAGUGAGUCUCACAAGAUCUGGUGGUUUUAUAAGCAUCCAGCCCUGCUUGCACUUACUCUAUCCUGCUGUCCUACGAGGAAGGUGCCUGCUUCUCCUUUGCCUCUGUCAUGAUUGUGAACUUCCUGAGGCCUCCCCAGCCAUGCAGAACAAAUCCAUCCCCGAGGUCAGUGUGAAGUUCUUUGCCAGCCUGGGGACCUCUUUCCAUCUCACUGAGGAAUGAGGAACAGAAUCUGGUCUUCGGUACUGCACAAAUUCUCCACAUAUCAAGGAGACAUCUACCAUUGAAGGAGAUUUUGAUAUGUAAACUGAAGGUUAACAUGAAAUACAAGGUACAUUAUUAAUUCUU
Long non-coding RNA from Callithrix jacchus (white-tufted-ear marmoset), 412 nucleotides. Lineage: Eukaryota; Metazoa; Chordata; Mammalia; Primates; Cebidae. The record is from Ensembl.